RNAcentral lists this ribosomal RNA (126 nucleotides) under Castor canadensis (American beaver). Lineage: Eukaryota; Metazoa; Chordata; Mammalia; Rodentia; Castoridae. The record is from RNAcentral.
GCUACGGCCAUACCACCCCGAACAUGCCCAAUCUCAUCUGAUCUCAGAAACUAAGCAGGGUCAAGCCUGGUUAGUACUUAGAUGGGAGAAAGAUCUUCAGAAGAGACUGCUCAGAGACAAGCAGCA